UCUCUGGUGGUCCAGUGGUUACAACUUUGUAAUUUCACUGCAAUGGCCCAGGUUCCAUCCCUGGUCAGGGAA
RNAcentral lists this transfer RNA (72 nucleotides) under Bos taurus (domestic cattle). It matches the Rfam family "tRNA". Rfam says of the family: Transfer RNA (tRNA) molecules are approximately 80 nucleotides in length. Their secondary structure includes four short double-helical elements and three loops (D, anti-codon, and T loops). Further hydrogen bonds mediate the characteristic L-shaped molecular structure. tRNAs have two regions of fundamental functional importance: the anti-codon, which is responsible for specific mRNA codon recognition, and the 3' end, to which the tRNAs corresponding amino acid is attached (by aminoacyl-tRNA synthetases). tRNAs cope with the degeneracy of the genetic code in two manners: having more than one tRNA (with a specific anti-codon) for a particular amino acid; and 'wobble' base-pairing, i.e. permitting non-standard base-pairing at the 3rd anti-codon position. RNAcentral also lists the same sequence under 1 other name. The record is from Rfam by way of RNAcentral. Lineage: Eukaryota; Metazoa; Chordata; Mammalia; Artiodactyla; Bovidae.